Molecule: ribosomal RNA, 468 nt
Filed under: uncultured bacterium
Lineage: Bacteria
Description: partial 16S ribosomal RNA
Rfam family: Bacterial small subunit ribosomal RNA
Source: RNAcentral
GACGAACGCUGGCGGCGUGCUUAACACAUGCAAGUCGAACGGAAAGGCCCUGCUUUUGUGGGGUGCUCGAGUGGCGAACGGGUGAGUAACACGUGAGUAACCUGCCCUUGACUUUGGGAUAACUUCAGGAAACUGGGGCUAAUACCGGAUAGGAGCUCCUGCUGCAUGGUGGGGGUUGGAAAGUUUCGGCGGUUGGGGAUGGACUCGCGGCUUAUCAGCUUGUUGGUGGGGUAGUGGCUUACCAAGGCUUUGACGGGUAGCCGGCCUGGGAGGGUGACCGGCCACAUUGGGACUGGGAUACGGCCCAGACUCCUACGGGAGGCAGCAGUGGGGAAUAUUGCACAAUGGGCGGAAGCCUGAUGCAGCAACGCCGUGUGCGGGAUGACGGCCUUCGGGUUGUAAACCGCUUUCGCCUGUGACGAAGCGUGAGUGACGGUAAUGGGUAAAGAAGCACCGGCUAACUACGUG